Molecule: ribosomal RNA, 497 nt
Filed under: uncultured bacterium
Lineage: Bacteria
Description: partial 16S ribosomal RNA
Rfam family: Bacterial small subunit ribosomal RNA
Source: RNAcentral
GAUGAACGCUGGCGGCGUGCCUAAUACAUGCCAGUCGAGCGAACAGACGAGGAGCUUGCUCCUCUGACGUUAGCGGCGGACGGGUGAGUAACACGUGGAUAACCUACCUAUAAGACUGGGAUAACUUCGGGAAACCGGAGCUAAUACCGGAUAAUAUAUUGAACCGCAUGGUUCAAUAGUGAAAGACGGUUUUGCUGUCACUUAUAGAUGGAUCCGCGCCGCAUUAGCUAGUUGGUAAGGUAACGGCUUACCAAGGCGACGAUGCGUAGCCGACCUGAGAGGGUGAUCGGCCACACUGGAACUGAGACACGGUCCAGACUCCUACGGGAGGCAGCAGUAGGGAAUCUUCCGCAAUGGGCGAAAGCCUGACGGAGCAACGCCGCUUGAGUGAUGAAGGUCUUCGGAUCGUAAAACUCUGUUAUUAGGGAAGAACAAAUGUGUAAGUAACUAUGCACGUCUUGACGGUACCUAAUCAGAAAGCCACGGCUAACUACGUG